UACGUAGGUGGCAAGCGUUGUCCGGAAUUAUUGGGCGUAAAGCGCGCGCAGGCGGUUUCUUAAGUCUGAUGUGAAAGCCCACGGCUCAACCGUGGAGGGUCAUUGGAAACUGGGAAACUUGAGUGCAGGAGAGAAGAGUGGAAUUCCACGUGUAGCGGUGAAAUGCGUAGAGAUGUGGAGGAACACCAGUGGCGAAGGCGCCUCUUUGGCCUGUAACUGACGCUGAGGCGCGAAAGCGUGGGGAGCAAACAGG
Molecule: ribosomal RNA, 253 nt
Filed under: uncultured bacterium
Lineage: Bacteria
Description: partial 16S ribosomal RNA
Rfam family: Bacterial small subunit ribosomal RNA
Source: RNAcentral